This 432-nucleotide ribosomal RNA is filed under the name uncultured bacterium. RNAcentral describes it as "partial 16S ribosomal RNA". It matches the Rfam family "Bacterial small subunit ribosomal RNA", at positions 29 to 507 of the family's 1533-position model. The record is from RNAcentral.
AACGAACGCUGGCGGCAUGCCUAACACAUGCAAGUCGAACGAGACCUUCGGGUCUAGUGGCGCACGGGUGCGUAACGCGUGGGAACCUGCCCUUAGGUUCGGAAUAACUCCCCGAAAGGGGUGCUAAUACCGGAUAAUGUCUUCGGACCAAAGAUUUAUCGCCUUUGGAUGGGCCCGCGUUGGAUUAGCUAGUUGGUAGGGUAAAAGCCUACCAAGGCGACGAUCCAUAGCUGGUCUGAGAGGAUGAUCAGCCACACUGGGACUGAGACACGGCCCAGACGCCAGCGGGGGGAAGGAGGGGGGAAUUUUGGAAAAUGGGCAGAAGCCUGAACCACCAACGCCGGGGGAGUGAUGAAGGCUUUGGGGUUGAAAAGCUCUUUUACCCGGGAGGAUAUGGAAGUAACCGGGGAAAAAAGCCCCGCCAACUCCGUG